UGGGGAAUUUUGGACAAUGGGCGAAAGCCUGAUCCAGCAAUGCCGCGUGUGUGAAGAAGGCCUUCGGGUUGUAAAGCACUUUUGUCCGGAAAGAAAUCCUUGGCUCUAAUACAGUCGGGGGAUGACGGUACCGGAAGAAUAAGCACCGGCUAACUACGUGCCAGCAGCCGCGGUAAUACGUAGGGUGCAAGCGUUAAUCGGAAUUACUGGGCGUAAAGCGUGCGCAGGCGGUUUGCUAAGACCGAUGUGAAAUCCCCGGGCUCAACCUGGGAACUGCAUUGGUGACUGGCAGGCUAGAGUAUGGCAGAGGGGGGUAGAAUUCCACGUGUAGCAGUGAAAUGCGUAGAGAUGUGGAGGAAUACCGAUGGCGAAGGCAGCCCCCUGGGCCAAAUACUGACGCUCAUGCACGAAAAGCGUGGGGGAGCAAACAGGAUUAGAUACCCUGGUAGUCCACGCCCUAAACGAUGUCAACUAGUUGUUGGGGAUUCAUUUCCUUAGUAACGUAGCUAACGCGUGAAGUUGACCGCCUGGGGAGUACGGUCGCAAGAUUAAAACUCAAAGGAAUUGACGGGGUCAUAGCUGUUUCCU
This 588-nucleotide ribosomal RNA is filed under the name uncultured bacterium. RNAcentral's name for it is "partial 16S ribosomal RNA". It matches the Rfam family "Bacterial small subunit ribosomal RNA", at positions 355 to 1375 of the family's 1533-position model. The record is from RNAcentral.